Long non-coding RNA from Bombus impatiens (common eastern bumble bee), 2843 nucleotides. RefSeq lists it as uncharacterized. The record is from RefSeq and is a predicted model, not a curated record. NCBI's taxonomy places the organism in Eukaryota, Metazoa, Arthropoda, Insecta, Hymenoptera, Apidae. The transcript has 4 exons.
AAAGUGUUUCAACACAGUGCAUCGUUAGAUGCGACAUUUGUUCUCAUUUUUUUUUAUUGAUGUUCUAAUAAAAAUGUUUAAUUGUUCAACGGGGCACUUCUAAUUUCAAAGUAUCUUCUAUUUAUCGGUUAUAUUGAAAAUACCCUAACUGUCAAUUUUCAUACAAUUUUUACAAUUGUAAGAAGUUGAGGCGUUCCGGUCGCUAAUGACCACCGUGGCGCCACAGGAAAAACCAUGGCCGGUCGUAUAUGACCAACAUGGCAGUCAAAGUGUUAAGCUAAUCGUUCGAUCGUGGAUAAUAUUUUCAAUCUGUCUUGAAACCGUCUGGUCGCGUGAGGUCAUCGGAAUCGUGUGACUACAUCGAAGUAGCUACGUUUAAUCCGUGCCAUAGUAAUAUAUUCGUGGCUACUAUAAUAGUCGCGUUGUAAAUGAAGUCAGUGCGGAAGUUGCGCAUCGAUACUGCACUUAGAUCCUGAACCGAACCGGUUGUCGCUGCAGAUAGCGAUAAAGGAACAUGGUUGCACGGUAUGGCUGACGCUCGGUUUUUUUCCCCCGGACACGCUAAAAACCUCGUCGAUAAGCAUGGCGUGUAAACCUACGACUGUUACCACCGUUUCUCGCGUGAACGCUGUUCGAUACGGAAUUCGUUGAAAAAAUUCACUCGAUCCUUCGGCGAUUCUUUCUCCGCUCGAUCAUAAAAUACAAAGCUGGAAAUUAUCGGAGGAUCGGGGGCGCUUCUGACACUGUCCGCGCGAACACAAGCUUCAGCGCGUCAAACCAUGGCGGCAAUUGCUAGCCACAAUUCGUUACGCGUCACGUGUACAUUUUUAAAGGUGGCGUGCGCGAUUGCGAGACUAAUUGAGGCCUUGAUACCGCCAGGAAUUACCUGCACUUUCUGGGGGAACUCGUUUCUUUCCACGGAACGUAGUAUGGAUUUACCCUGCGGCUUCCACGCUGCUCGUGUCGCUCCUUUCAGUUCCAACUUUUGUUUUCUGCUCUUCAGCAGAAAUUCCACGCUUCCGUUCGGAAAUACCGAUGGUUCGCGCGAUCUGCACUUUCAACAGCGACUAUAAAUUCACUGAUUCACGGCGCACGUCCAAUUAGGAUCGCGAGUAACGAUGAAAGAUCGGCUUUAACAGAAGCUGCUUCGUUAUGGAUUCACGGCGGUUUCUUUGGCCGCCAAGCGACUGGUAGGCGGAGCCAAGUGAGCGGAGCACGUGGCGCGCGUGGUACGCUGCCUCGAAGAACUGGACGUGCCGCAGUUACCUUUCGACCUGUCAACAAUAGACGUAGCGCGUCGCACGCGCCACGCCACUCAUUUUCUUCCACGCUUCGACCGCGAAAACACUGCCGCCACGUUCGUGUGCAAAGAAAGUAAAACUUUCAAUCGACAGAGUGCUCCGUUUUCUUUUCCCUCGUCGUUUAAACCGUGCGUUUGUUUCAUCGCCGGAAAGUGCACCGAGUUCCAUCGAGAAAGAUGGAAACUUACAUUUGCGCUGGUGGUUCCGAAAAAUACUGAGACGGUGUUCGAUUUCAUAGUGACGUGACGAAUUGUCCAGCAGCUUUAGACGAGGCGGGUAGUGGAUCCGAGUGAGGAGCGGAACGAUCGAAAGUGAGAGGUCGAGUCGAGGCGAAUCAACCGACAAUUCUUCGUGACCAUGGCUGGCCGCGUCGUUUCGAGUUAUAUCGCGGAAAGAACUUGCAUCGAACAGUGCGACUUCCGAUCGAAUAUCGUCGCGAGUUAGAAUCUACUCGCUUUCGAUUCGAUGAUCUUGAAAACAUCGAAAGCGAUAAAUAACCGCUCAACGUGUUUGCCACGCAAGUGGCCGUAGAAACAGUAGAAAUAUGUUUCGUUCGGGUAUCACGUUUCCGCGACAAGUUUUCUGCGAAACGAUGAGCUGUUCGUUCGAAAUGUUAUUCGUCAGAGCCACGGCGAAAGUGUGUGCUGUAGUGUCGUACGGAGUAUCGAUUACCAUUUCUGGAGUAGCUGGAACGAUAAUAGAGGCAUAAAUAUUACUCGAACAUUGCGGUCUGCCGCUUUAGCCUCUGACGUCACGCUCUCCGGUCCAGCGAGUCGGUGUCGUCCUUACACAAAUUUUUCAAAGAUUUUCGCGUCAAUCGUCGAUCGCACGCAGUGAAAAGUUUCUAGUCGCGGUAACGAGGUGGUGUGGCGGUUCAGUGGUUUCUUUGUCGGGAAGUUGCUCUUGGCUGAUUUUUUGCCGACGAUCAGGCACGUUCGAGCUACGCCUCCAAAGGAAUAGAAUUUCCACUCUCGAGUACCUGUGUAUAAACAACGGGAUGUCGUGAUCGUUAAGAGUCGCGAGAGCAUCGCUUUGAAUGGAGUACUCGUUAAGCGUGGAAACGAGAGAAGGUCCGCCAACGACUCGAACUUUCCUAUUGCGGGAUACUCCCGUUAACCUCUUAGUGCCGUAUCGUUUACGGGUGAAACUCUGCCGUACAAAGAAACGGCCCAUGCAAAAUUCAGUACCUAAGAGGUUAACAAACGUCAUCUCUCGUCAUUUGUUCAAGAUCGUGACAUUUUUCGUACACCAACCUCGAACAAUAUUACUCGAACUGUACCAGUGCGGAUAGUUGCAUACGUCGUUGGAGAGAAACGAUGGUCGUUGUUCGCCGAUAUUGUAACUUCGUUUUGCAUUCGGUGGAAGGGCAGAAAAAUAUGGUAACGGAAAUGAAGUAAAGAAAAGUUUUCGCGAGAUACACAGAGAAUGCGAGACUAGCGGAUCUCGGACACGCGGUGCUGCUUCUUCCUUAACGGAGAACUCAAUCCCCUUAAGUAACUUCCUUUCAACUCGACUACGCUUAGUUCGCAAAAAAAAAAAAAA